GGCCUGUUAGCUCAGUUGGUUGAGCUUGGUGCUGAUAACACCAAGGUUGCAGGUUCAAUCUCCGUUCAGUCCC
Molecule: transfer RNA, 73 nt
Organism: Apaloderma vittatum (bar-tailed trogon)
Lineage: Eukaryota; Metazoa; Chordata; Aves; Trogoniformes; Trogonidae
Rfam family: tRNA
About the family: Transfer RNA (tRNA) molecules are approximately 80 nucleotides in length. Their secondary structure includes four short double-helical elements and three loops (D, anti-codon, and T loops).
Source: Rfam